UACCCAAUCCUGACACAGGGAGGUAGUGACAAGAAAUAACAAUACGGGGCUUAAUGUCUUGUAAUUGGAAUGAUGGGAAUUUAAACCUCUUCCAGAGUAUCAAUUGGAGGGCAAGUCUGGUGCCAGCAGCCGCGGUAAUUCCAGCUCCAAUAGCGUAUAUUAAAAUUGUUGCAGUUAAAAAGCUCGUAGUUGAAUUUCUGCUGCAUUGCAUCUUCUUUUUGAUGAGUUGGUGUAUUGUGGCUUAUUUCGGGUGAUACUUGUAUUAUCCGGAUGAUUACUUUGAGAAAAUUAGAGUGCUCAAAGCAGGCUUUUGCCUUGAAUAGUUUAGCAUGGAAUAAUAAAGUAGGACUUUGGUUCUAUUUUGUUGGUUUUAGGUACCAAAGUAAUGGUUAAUAGGAACAGUUGGGGGCAUUCGUAUUUAA
RNAcentral lists this ribosomal RNA (422 nucleotides) under Theileria luwenshuni. RNAcentral's name for it is "SSU rRNA". It matches the Rfam family "Eukaryotic small subunit ribosomal RNA", at positions 442 to 901 of the family's 1831-position model. Lineage: Eukaryota; Apicomplexa; Aconoidasida; Piroplasmida; Theileriidae. The record is from RNAcentral.